AUAUAAUUUUUAUUUAAAAUUUUAGGGUAUUCUGCUUGGUUGUAUUUUUACCUCAGGUUUACAGAUUUUUUUUAAAGGGCUUGUUAUUUUUAUUUAUUGUAUCACCUCGUAGAUUUGGUUGUGCACUUUUAGGUUUGCAUCAGUUUUAGUAUAUUAAUAGUUGACCGUAUAUAAACAGAGAUAUUUAUUAAUAGUUAUCAUGAAUCAAAGGGACAGUGGCAAAUAGUUUUCUGUAAAAAAAAAAAAUCAAAACUAGCUCUUUGUUAUUACAUUUUGAUGUUUAUGCAAGUAUUAAAAUAAAUAUAGAUCUUAUGAAAUCACAUAUGGUUACGUUUCAAUUUUUAUCAAAUUUUAUCAAUAUU
This 362-nucleotide long non-coding RNA is filed under the name Mytilus galloprovincialis (Mediterranean mussel). The record is from RNAcentral. Lineage: Eukaryota; Metazoa; Mollusca; Bivalvia; Mytilida; Mytilidae.